UACGGAGGAUGCGAGCGUUAUCCGGAUUUAUUGGGUUUAAAGGGUGCGUAGGCGGCUUUUUAAGUCAGCGGUGAGAUUUUGCAGCUUAACUGUAACAGUGCCGUUGAUACUGGGGAGCUAGGAUUUGGUUGCUGUGGGUGGAAUGUGUGGUGUAGCGGUGAAAUGCUUAGAGAUCACACAGAAUAUCGAUUGCGAAGGCAGCUCACAAAGCCAAGAUUGACGCUGAGGCACGAAAGUGUGGGGAUCAAACAGGAUUA
This 257-nucleotide ribosomal RNA is filed under the name uncultured prokaryote. RNAcentral's name for it is "partial 16S ribosomal RNA". It matches the Rfam family "Bacterial small subunit ribosomal RNA", at positions 524 to 780 of the family's 1533-position model. The record is from RNAcentral.